AGGGCGGAGCGGCCGCGGGCCCUGAGGGGACCCUGAGGGGACCCUGAGGGGACUCCGGUGCCGUGGGGGCUUCCCAGCUCCGGAGGGAGCAAAGAACGGCCUUCGGACACUGCUGGUGCUGCGCUGCCCUCACGGGGUGCUGUGGACCAGCUGAUCCACUCACUGGGAGAGGAGAUGGCUCACUAAGGGUCUCAUCUCAUGUACAUGGAUGCUCCCCUUUCCCUUCAAAACAUGAACACUGGCUCUGGUGUCCCACACAACCUCCCAGAUUUAACCAGCCAGUACUUUUAAUUUCCUCCUGAGAAUUUUUGGAAAAAGACCAUUCUGCUGUCAGCUUCCUGGGAUAAGCAAAAAGGAAAUGAAACUUCAAAAGACCUGAAGGGUUGUUUGGUGUUUCUUCCACAGACUUUCACUAGAAGCUUCUCCAGCAGCUCUGAGUAGCUCCAGCAGUCUGUCACAUGCUGCCGAAGGCACACUGCAAUCCCAGCAGCUGGCACAAGGGUGUGUGAGGAUGGGAGCCCUCUUGGCAUAAG
Passer montanus (Eurasian tree sparrow) is the source of this 533-nucleotide long non-coding RNA. RefSeq lists it as uncharacterized. The transcript is spliced from 4 exons. NCBI's taxonomy places the organism in Eukaryota, Metazoa, Chordata, Aves, Passeriformes, Passeridae. The record is from RefSeq and is a predicted model, not a curated record.